GUCAGGUCAUUAAAGAUUGCAUAUUUUGGCGUUAAUAUUGAUUCACUUAUAGGGUCUUUGCAUCAGAACUAAACACAUUUAUUUAAUCAAAGAGCUGAAAGCUCUGAGGAAAAUGACGCCACUGCCUCUAAUAUUGGGAUAUUUUUAUGCAAGUCUUGAUUUUCACAUACCGUAAUAAGUUUAACAUUGCAACAUGUCUCGUAAGCAUAUAAUUGAUAUUCGUAUAUGUGUGUGUGUGAAGUAAAGAUGACAACUGACUGUUUUUUUAAGUACAAAUGAAUAGGUCAAGAGUCAAGACUUCUUGAAUGAUCUACAGUAUCCAAUUACUACUGGCUGUUGUUUUUUUUGUACAAAUAAAUAGGUCAAGACUACCUGAAUGAUCUACAGUAUCCAAUGACUACUGGCUGUUUUUUUUGUACAAAUAAAUAGGUCAAGAAUACUGGAAUGAUCUACAAUAUCCAAUGACUACUAGCUGUUCUUUUGCACUAAUAAAUAGGUCAAGACUAUUUAAAUGAUCUACAAUAUUCAAUGACUACUGGCUGUUCUUUUGUACAUACUAAAUAAAGACUACCUGAAU
RNAcentral lists this long non-coding RNA (577 nucleotides) under Mytilus galloprovincialis (Mediterranean mussel). Lineage: Eukaryota; Metazoa; Mollusca; Bivalvia; Mytilida; Mytilidae. The record is from RNAcentral.